GAUGAAGAACGUAGCGAAAUGCGAUAAGUAAUGUGAAUUGCAGAAUUCAGUGAAUCAUCGAAUCUUUGAACGCACAUUGCGCCCCUUGGUAUUCCGAGGGGCAUGCCUGUUCGAGCGUCAUUAUAACCCCUCAAGCUCAGCUUGGUGUUGGGGCCUGCUGCACUGGCAGCCCUUAAAAUCAGUGGCGGCGCCAUCUGGCUCUAAGCGUAGUAAUUCUUCUCGCUAUGGAGUCCUGGUGGAUGCUUGCCAUCAACCCCCAAUUUUUCUAUGGUUGACCUCGGAUCAGGUAGGGAUACCCGCUGAACUUAAGCAUAUAAAUAAGCGGAGGA
RNAcentral lists this unclassified non-coding RNA (329 nucleotides) under soil metagenome. RNAcentral's name for it is "partial contains 5.8S ribosomal RNA, internal transcribed spacer 2, and large subunit ribosomal RNA". The stretch from base 1 to 120 matches the Rfam family "5.8S ribosomal RNA", at positions 35 to 154 of the family's 154-position model. The record is from RNAcentral.